Molecule: transfer RNA, 70 nt
Filed under: Scarthyla goinorum (Tarauaca snouted treefrog)
Lineage: Eukaryota; Metazoa; Chordata; Amphibia; Anura; Hylidae
Description: tRNA-Val
Rfam family: tRNA
About the family: Transfer RNA (tRNA) molecules are approximately 80 nucleotides in length. Their secondary structure includes four short double-helical elements and three loops (D, anti-codon, and T loops). Further hydrogen bonds mediate the characteristic L-shaped molecular structure. tRNAs have two regions of fundamental functional importance: the anti-codon, which is responsible for specific mRNA codon recognition, and the 3' end, to which the tRNAs corresponding amino acid is attached (by aminoacyl-tRNA synthetases). tRNAs cope with the degeneracy of the genetic code in two manners: having more than one tRNA (with a specific anti-codon) for a particular amino acid; and 'wobble' base-pairing, i.e. permitting non-standard base-pairing at the 3rd anti-codon position.
Source: RNAcentral
CAAAAUGUAGCUUAAUUUAAAGCAUCUCGCUUACACCGAGAAAAUACUCGUGAAACCCAAGUCAUUUUGA